RNAcentral lists this ribosomal RNA (230 nucleotides) under uncultured bacterium. RNAcentral describes it as "partial 16S ribosomal RNA". It matches the Rfam family "Bacterial small subunit ribosomal RNA", at positions 562 to 791 of the family's 1533-position model. The record is from RNAcentral.
AAAGGGUGCGUAGGCGGCCUGUUAAGUCAGGGGUGAAAGACGGUAGCUCAACUAUCGCAGUGCCCUUGAUACUGAUGGGCUUGAAUGGACUAGAGGUAGGCGGAAUGAGACAAGUAGCGGUGAAAUGCAUAGAUAUGUCUCAGAACACCGAUUGCGAAGGCAGCUUACUAUGGUCUUAUUGACGCUGAGGCACGAAAGCGUGGGGAUCAAACAGGAUUAGAUACCCGUGU